GGAGGCUUGGUGCUGGCUGAGGUGUGUCAGUGACUGCCACGGGCUGCACCCCUCACUGUUGCCUGAAGUCACCCAAGGUCGCCCAAGGUCAGUGGGAAAUAUCCAGGGAUGACGGUGGAUCCUGGGAGCGCCUCACAACAGCUACCUUCGGCACAGCACGACUUUGGAAGGCCUAAAGUUUGAACCAAAAAUGGAGCCCCUGCCGCUCUCCCCAUAUGGGAUUCAAAUUGAAAAGCUACAAGGUCCACACUCUGCUGAAGCCCCACACCACUGCCACUCUGGAACAGGCACCUCCACCAGCCACCCUGUCCCUCCCUGUCAUUUAUUCUCCCAGCUAAAGCAUGAAUCUAUAAAAGGAAGCUCUCUUCUCACAGGAUCCAACUCGUCCUCCACCCUCACACAACACUCCCUCGAGGAAGAUGUAAUGUUCCAGGAAUGGCCCAGCAUGUGGUAAAGGGCACAGAGCUUCCUAUAAAAGCUGGGCUAUGGCUCAAGGAUAAAGUCUGUGGUGGGGGAGUGGGAGAAGCUGGCAAUGUCUUGAUUCUACUGUUGAAGUUACCACUGUCUAAAAUCCCCUAGUCAUUAUGGAAAGACAGAGGACGAAACAGCCAUCCUGUCGACUUCUUUGUAAGGGGCAUCAGAGUCAAAGACUGCCAGAACACCCACACUGAUCCUACCUGCAUAAUGUGGAAUGAAUGCUAUGGAUAAACUGCUGAAGAUGGUUCCUGUCCAUUUGACUCUGAAGGGUGUCUUCUUUCACGUUGAAGAACAGGAGACAAUCAAAAUGUGAAACGUAUGCUGAAGCCAACCAGAACAUCAAAGGACAGUCAAAAGCGCUAACCAUGAAACUAUAUUUCUACUAAUACAUUCUUUUAAAAAAAAAAUAAA
RNAcentral lists this long non-coding RNA (888 nucleotides) under Homo sapiens (human). RNAcentral's name for it is "HSALNT0357845". Lineage: Eukaryota; Metazoa; Chordata; Mammalia; Primates; Hominidae. The record is from RNAcentral.